GGAAGCUGAAGGAGAGGAAGGGCAUGAAUUGUUGAGUGCUUUUAAGGUUGCCAAUUUCUGUAGUGCUGAAGAUGAUGGGAGUUUCUGGAGUCGUUGGAUAAAACCUGAAGCAGUAGCUCAAGCUGAAGAAGCAUUGGCCCCUCGUGCUGCAAGGAACAACAAGAGCUAUGCUGAGGCUAGCCAAUCUGAGAGAAGUAACAAAAGGAAAAAGAAAAAUUCUGAGCUUCCGGAACCACAGGAGCGAGAGAAGAAACGUCGC
RNAcentral lists this unclassified non-coding RNA (259 nucleotides) under Hevea brasiliensis (rubber tree). The record is from RNAcentral. Lineage: Eukaryota; Viridiplantae; Streptophyta; Magnoliopsida; Malpighiales; Euphorbiaceae.